AAUGAAUUUUCUGUUAUAGACUUCUUGCUAAAAGUUGUUUGGGAUUUACCGCAAAUGUUGCAGCUUCUGAUAAAAAGUUCUUUAACAGCUUUGUCGUUGUGUGACUUUUAUAUUAAUAAUAUUGAUAUUUUAAGGAGGUUGUAAGGCUGAGUCAUCACGCAAGUUCCUGCCGAAGUUGAUAAACAUAAGAUUAAGUAAUCCAUUUGUUGUAGCCUUUCAGAAGGCCUUCACGGUCUCCAUAAUUACGGAUGAUCUCGGCUUUGACUGUUGCUUUGGAAAAGAGGUUUCCGAUUGCAGUAGCCCGUCCUGGAGCAAUUCCUGUGAUGGGUGUGACCCAGCCUUUGGUUCCUGACUACCUGCCAUGUAAAACGAGGCGAGUAAUUGCAUCAGAAGGAAGAGUAGGAGAAUUAAUAUAUGCCGAUACGUGUUGAAUCCCUGCUUAUGUAUCCAGUAAAGGAAGAUGAAGGUGCUAAUAGCAGCCAAACCUACACCUAGACUAUGGCCAAAGCAAAGAUGCACAUUUAAUCCCUGCACUCUGAAAUGAAGAUACGUGAAUAUUGAGGACCAAAAUGCACAGAAUAUUACAGUUAUGACUACGAAGCAAGAUAAAACUAAAUUUCUAAGCAACUGGGAUUUACAUAUGCCUUCUGACUACAAACAUCACAAGAACUGAGAUAUCUGAUACUUGGGGCAGUACAGAUGAACAUAAACUUGAACAGAUUAUAUACAUACUGGUAAUUUCUCUACUUAGCAGCCUUAUGAAAUUACAAUUAGCCAGAUUUGCAGUAGUACUUCCAAAGUGGAUUAUCUGAAGUUUAUCCAUAAGAAAUUCAUAACCCUUCAGAAGCAGACCCUCGUAACUUUCCAACAUCUUAAGUGUGGAUUUUUUUUUGGGGUGGGGGGAUCUUCUGACCAUCUGAUGAACAAGUCUUGACCCUUCAAAGCUGAUCCUCAUAACUUUCCAACAUCCUAAAUUGUGUACUUGAAAGUGGGAGGGUUAUCGAUGGACCUCUGCAUGGAUGUGGAGUUUCAUCUCUGCAGAGGAACUCUUUGGCCAAGGACGAUCGAGAAACUGCUGUAAAGAAAAAAUCAUGGCUGUGUAAUGACCAUUUGAUGAACAAGUCUUGAACCCUUCAGAAGCUGAUCCUCAUAUCUUUCCAACAUCCUCAAGUGUGGAAUUAAUUAAAAUUGGGUGGGUUAUUGAUAAACCUCUGCAUGGAUGUGAAUUUCCAUCUUUGCAGAGGAACUCUUCCACGAAGGAAGAUCAGGAAGUUGCUGUAAAAAAAAAAAAUCAUGGCUGUGCAACAUUAUGGCAAAGGCAAUGCUACAUCUGCCUACCUACUCCGGGCCUCUUUCUUUCUCCUAAAAUGUGAAGCAAAAAACAAGGUCAUGCAACAUUGCAUGGCCACAAAUUCGUCCUUCCUUGGAGAACAUAUCUUCAGCUUAGUCAUCCGGAAACUGCAGUGGCAUUGCUGAAAAUGGCAUCCAGGAACUGUUCUUGAAGGAUGCUAGAAUGGUAGGAAUUACUUUGGACAAUGGAAGGAAGGGAAAAGAUGAUAUAAUCUGGGCAGAAGCAACACUGACAGCAGACGUAUGGUGGGGAAGGUACGUCCGUGGAAGACAUGAUUGUUGUUUGACUUCUGCAAAUCCAGUGACAAAAGGUAGGGGGAGAUGAAGUAACAUUUGAAGUUAUAUGAUGUUCACCAACCUGAACGGAGAUGAAGUAACAUUUGAAGUUAUAUGAUACACACCAACCUGAAACAAAACGAAUGGCUGAACCUCUGAUGGUGAGUCAUCUUUCUCCAGUCAAUGUGUUCUUCCAAUAAAGUCUCUAGAUCAAAAAGAAAGAAGACUGAGAAACUGCAAUACAGCAAAUCACGAAGAAAAAGAGUAAGAAGCGAAGGAACUUCAUCAAGGAAAGCUUUUCAGGACUUCUCAGCCUUCAAAAGAGGAAUGAAGGACCAAUGAUCUGGGCAGGAGCAGCACUGACAGUAGAUGUACAGUGGGGAGAAGCUUUUCAGGACUUCUCAUCCUCCAAAAAAGGAAUGAAGGACAAUGGAAGAACAAUGAUCUGGGCAGGAGAAGCAUUGAUAGCAGAGGCACAGUGGGGGGGUACAUCGGGGGAGGACAUGUUUGUGGUGUACGUACAGCAAAGAUGAAGGAGAAGGCUUGACCUCUGCAAAGAACAUCAAAAGCUAGGAGAGAUGAAAUAUCUCUUGAAGCUAUGGUACAGCAAUGUGGCACACAUACCUGAACCGUAAUGAUUAGCUGAACCGGGUUCAUUGCCGGGUCGUAUUUCUCCGGCUGCUCUUUAUUCUUCUACAUAAUAUCUUUAGAAGGGCAAGAAAGAAGACUGAUAAACUGUGAUACAACAUAUGAUGACGAAAAAAGAGUGAGGGAGGUGAAGGAACCUUAUCAAAGAAAGCUUUUCAGGACUUCUCAUCCUUCAAAGCAAGAAUGAAGGACAAUGGAAGAAUGACAAUCUAGGUGGGAACAGCACUGAUGGUAGGUGCACAACUGGGGACACUUGUGAUCUACAGCAAAGACAAAGAAGGCUUAACUUCAGAUCAUCCAUCGUAAGCUCCUCUUGGUGCUCCUUGAGAAGGUCAUUGAUGUCGUCCUCGUUGAUGACCAGCCCCAUGGACUUGCCGAGUGCAACGAUCUCGUCAAGAUCUGGUUGUGAAACAGUUUCAGGAUCGUCAACAGUUUCUGAAUCUGCAUCAGCUUCACCCACGUCGAAUCCCUCGAAAUCUCGGGCGGAUACAGCAUCAGGCCAGAGUUUCCUCCACGAAGAAUUCAAGGUUUGCCUCGAAACCUCCUGCCAAGCUUGGUCGAUGAGUCAGAUGCAUAAGAUAACAUCGAAACGCUCCUCCCAAAAUUCACGUAAGGGGAGGUUUGUGGUAUCUGUGAUGUCAAAACAUCUCUUGAAAAGAUUUUUCGUAUACAGCUUCUUUGAAGUUCGAUAUUACUUGCUGGUCCAUGGGCUGGAGGAGAGGGGUGGUGUAAGGCGGAAGAUAAAGAACCUUGAUAAAAGAAUACUUCGCUAGGAUAUCUUCCUCGAGGCCAGGAGGCUGAGCAGGGGCAUUGUCCAACACCAGCAGACAUUUCAGAGGGAGGCGCUUCUCUUUCAAGAAUUUCUUCACUGUCGGGCCGAAACACAGAUUUACCCACUCAGUGAACAAAAGUCUCGUUACCCAGGCUUUCGCAUUAGCCCUCCACAUCACUGGAAGCUUCUCCUUUAGCACUUUGUGGGCCUUGAAGGCUCGAGGAGUCUUCGAAUGAUACACAAGUAGGGGCUUCACCUUGCAAUCCCCACUAGCGUUCGAAUAAAGUGCGAGCGUAAGCCUGUCUUUCAUAGGCUUAUGCCCAGGUAGCUUCUUCUCUUCCUCCGUGAUGUACAUCCGACGAGGCAUUUUUUUCCAAAAAAGGCCAGUCUCAUCACAGUUGAAGACUUGUUGAGAACUGUUGCCUUUGUUGAUCGUCAUCUCAUCGAACACCUUAAUAAAGGCUUCGGCCGCUUUCAUGUCUGAGCUGGCAGCCUCCCCAUGCCGCACCACCGAAUGGAUGCCAGUCCGUUUCCGGAAUUUUUCAAACCACCCACGAGAAGCCUUGAAGUCUGGGGUUGGCGUCUAUGUCCCUUCUCCUCCAUCGUCUUCGGCCUGGGCAAUCAAAUCGCCGAAAAUAGCACUGGCCUUGUGACAGAUUGCCGUCUCGGUUAUCGUAUCGCCAGCGAUUUCUUUGUCUUUCAUCCAUUCAAGAAGCAGCCUCUCCAUCUAAUCGUGCACGUGGCUCCUCUUGUUGGACAAACUAGUCACGCCCUUGGAAGGUGUAGCUGCUUUGAUGGCUUCCCUCUCUUUAAGUAUGGUGCCUAUUGUUGACGGAUUUCGGCCGUAUUCCUUAGCGAUCACACACAACCACAUGCCAGCCUCAUACUUCUUAAUAAUCUCCAUUUUUGUCUCCAUAGAAAGCAUCCUCUUCUUUCUGUGAACUUCAGCAACUUUCUUGGGACCCAUGACUAUACGUACGUAAUAAAGUUACUAAUUAAGUUCUCACAAAACACGAUAAAGUACAAAGCGAAAUCACCAACACGAAUUUACGUUAACAAACGAAAUUGUAUAUGAACAAACGAAUUCCACGUGCUUACAAUAACAAUGCUGCUACGGAGUGACAGAAGAACGCCUUUGUGUAGAUGCACAAUGGGAGAGAUGCUGACCAAUAGGAGAGCAGGAUCUUACGGCGGUGACUAGCAUCAGGAACCAAUGGGAGAGCGGGAGGAUGGUGGCGAGUCUACUCGGUUGGUGGCGUGUGAAUUUAAAAUUGUUCUCGGUGGUCCGGGCAAAUCUCUGGACUUUACAGCAACAACCUUUCGUAACCUGAAUUAUUUUCGUAUGCAGAGGCAAAAAAAUCUUCGUAUUUGCUUUUGUAAAUUAAAUUUUUCGUAAGUUGGGACUUUCGUAUGUCGAGGUUCCACUGUAUAUACAAAAGUAGUAGAAUGCACCCACCAAUAACAUGUGAGGGGAAUAUGUGUAACAUAAGUAGGUCUACAAUGAGUAGCAACAAUGAAAUUAUCUUGAAAACAUUUACUUUAUAUUUUAGAGGGAAUACUUUCAUUUUCCUAUAUAACAAUAUUUCUUAAAUAUUUCAAAAAUUAUGGCAUACUAGCAAAUAUUCACCUAUGCCGAUAUUGAUCCAAGGCCUAGGUGUUAGAUUUCUUUACUUUACAUGUAACAUUCACAUCUCUCUAGUAUUAACAGUUUCUGGCCAGAAAGCAAAUGAAGUUAUCUACACAUUCUUCUUGCACUUCAAGUUACCGUAUGAAAGAAUAAACUAGACACCAAAAGUGAGCAGGACGACUUUUAAGAAAAUAAUAUUUUAAACCAGUUGAAAAACAAGUGUUCCAUAUGCCUUGAUAUUAAUACUAAUGAUAUUUCGAUUAAUAGCCAUUUUCUCCGUAUAAUCAAAAUCAUCAUCAUCAUCUUUUAUUCCUCAAAGAACAGGUAAUCUCUACAAAUAAAAACAUUAGUAACAGAUUACAUCUCAGAAGGCUUAGAUUUUUUUUUAGGCCUAUAAAUCAUUUUGCAACAUACAAGUAGCUUAAACACAGCCCAAAACUUCAACAUUUAAAGAAAACUAGUUGUAAUUCAUAUUCUAUUGUAUUCCUCAAAGAACAAGUAAUCUCUACAAAUAAGUUCAUUAGUAACAGAUUACAUCUCAGAAGGCUUAGAUUAUUAUUGUAGGCCUAUAAAAUAUUUUGCAACAUACAGGCAGCUUAAGCACAGCCAACAACUUCAACAUUCAAAGAAAGCUUGUUUUCAUUCAUAUUCCUACUUUGAAAAUGUUGAUAAGACUGUUGAGCUUAUUAGGCCUACUGUCAUAAUGCUGUAGCCAUAGUUAUGUUGACCAAUCCGAGGAGCAUGUUAAGUGUGCUUUCAUUGAUGGCACUGCUAACCUUAUCACACCACACUUUGAACUAAGCAACGUAAAAAAAAAAUCCGUUCAAAUCACAUAGAGUAUGAAUUACACCAAUGCAUAAAAGGGUUCAUAUUUAUAUAACCAUAAGGAAAAUAGGGCUAACUGGGAAUUUGCAAACUUUUAGACACAAGUAUGACAUUGGAAAUAGAAAAAAAAAAAUUAACACUACUUAGCAAUGUCAUGUUGAGUCUGAGAAUCUGGACGAUACAAAAAGAAUCAUGUCACACGAGAUUUGAGCACCACUGUACACUUACCUGUGCG
Macrobrachium nipponense is the source of this 5733-nucleotide long non-coding RNA. RefSeq lists it as uncharacterized. Lineage: Eukaryota; Metazoa; Arthropoda; Malacostraca; Decapoda; Palaemonidae. The record is from RefSeq and is a predicted model, not a curated record. The transcript is spliced from 4 exons.